Molecule: ribosomal RNA, 254 nt
Filed under: uncultured bacterium
Lineage: Bacteria
Description: partial 16S ribosomal RNA
Rfam family: Bacterial small subunit ribosomal RNA
Source: RNAcentral
UACGAAGGGGGCUAGCGUUGUUCGGAAUCACUGGGCGUAAAGCGCACGCAGGCGGAUUGAUAAGUCAGGGGUGAAAUCCCGGAGCUCAACUUCGGAAUUGCCUUUGAUACUGUCUGUCUUCGAGUUCGGGAGAGGUGGGCGGAAUUCCUAGUGUAGAGGUGAAAUUCGUAGAUAUUAGGAAGAACACCAGUGGCGAAGGCGGCCAACUGGCCCGAUACUGACGCUCAUGUGCGAAAGCGUGGGGAGCAAACAGG